Molecule: ribosomal RNA, 301 nt
Filed under: uncultured bacterium
Lineage: Bacteria
Description: partial 16S ribosomal RNA
Rfam family: Bacterial small subunit ribosomal RNA
Source: RNAcentral
CAGCAGCCGCGGGAAUACAGAGGGUGCAAGCGUUAUCCGGAAUUAUUGGGCGUAAAGAGCUCGUAGGCGGUUUGUCGCGUCUGCUGUGAAAACUGGAGGCUCAACCUCCAGCCUGCAGUGGGUACGGGCAGACUAGAGUGCGGUAGGGGAGAUUGGAAUUCCUGGUGUAGCGGUGGAAUGCGCAGAUAUCAGGAGGAACACCGAUGGCGAAGGCAGAUCUCUGGGCCGUAACUGACGCUGAGGAGCGAAAGCAUGGGGAGCGAACAGGAUUAGAUACCCGCGUAGUCCCUGUCUCUUAUAC